Molecule: long non-coding RNA, 583 nt
Organism: Carcharodon carcharias (great white shark)
Lineage: Eukaryota; Metazoa; Chordata; Chondrichthyes; Lamniformes; Lamnidae
Exons: 2
Source: RefSeq, a predicted model, not a curated record
CUCUCUCUCUUUCUGUGUCCCUGUCUCGUUCUCUCCCUCCCUCCCUCUCUCUCUCUCUCUCCCUCUCUCUCUCUCUCUCUGUGUGUGUUUCCCCCUCUCACUGGUAGCUCUGGCCUGCAGUAACCCCCGAGCUCCGGCACAACACCCACCGCUCGACACGAGAGACUUCAACUUUCACGGAAAUGAUGAACAAACGGGGCAAGCAAGAGAAGCAGCGAAAGAGAGGAUGGGAUGACGUGAAUGUGUGAGCUUCUGGUGCUGCGUGGGAGUCAGUGACAGUGUGAGGGACAGCCCGAGAGAGGGAGAGAGAGAGGAGUCCAGCACAGGACGGAUCGGAAUCGGAGCUGGCUGCCGCUGGCUCUCGCCGAUCUCUGUCGACGAUGCAUCCGCCGAGCUCUCGGGAGGGAUCGGAUCUCGGAGGUUGAGUCGUUACUGCUGCCCACAGCAGUCAAGAAAUAUCUGCAACACUCCUGAGAACGGGGGAGAGACAGAGAGAGAGAAAGAGACCGUCCGACUGCGUACACCAGCUUCACUUCUAGCUCAUUAUUUAUUGAUCUAUUGCGAAAUAAACAUUUUUGACAAA